Molecule: ribosomal RNA, 492 nt
Filed under: uncultured bacterium
Lineage: Bacteria
Description: partial 16S ribosomal RNA
Rfam family: Bacterial small subunit ribosomal RNA
Source: RNAcentral
AGUGAACGCUGGCGGUAGGCCUAACACAUGCAAGUCGAACGGCAGCACAGUAAGAGCUUGCUCUUACGGGUGGCGAGUGGCGGACGGGUGAGGAAUACAUCGGAAUCUACUUUUUCUUGGGGGAUAACGUAGGGAAACUUACGCUAAUACCUCAUACGACCUACGGGUGAAAGCAGGGGAUCUUCGGACCUUGCCCGAUUGAAUGAGCCGAUGUCGGAUUAGCUAGUUGGCGGGGUAAAGGCCCACCAAGGCGACGAUCCGUAGCUGGUCUGAGAGGAUGAUCAGCCACACUGGAACUGAGACACGGUCCAGACUCCUACGGGAGGCAGCAGUGGGGAAUAUUGGACAAUGGGCGCAAGCCUGAUCCAGCCAUACCGCGUGGGUGAAGAAGGCCUUCGGGUUGUAAAGCCCUUUUGUUGGGAAAGAAAAGAAGCAGGUUAAUACCCCGCUGUUCUGACGGUACCCAAAGAAUAAGCACCGGCUAACUUCGUG